RNAcentral lists this ribosomal RNA (2933 nucleotides) under Escherichia coli. Its description in RNAcentral is "23S ribosomal RNA". It matches the Rfam family "Bacterial large subunit ribosomal RNA". Lineage: Bacteria; Pseudomonadati; Pseudomonadota; Gammaproteobacteria; Enterobacterales; Enterobacteriaceae. The record is from RNAcentral.
GGGUUGUGAGGUUAAGCGACUAAGCGUACACGGUGGAUGCCCUGGCAGUCAGAGGCGAUGAAGGACGUGCUAAUCUGCGAUAAGCGUCGGUAAGGUGAUAUGAACCGUUAUAACCGGCGAUUUCCGAAUGGGGAAACCCAGUGUGUUUCGACACACUAUCAUUAACUGAAUCCAUAGGUUAAUGAGGCGAACCGGGGGAACUGAAACAUCUAAGUACCCCGAGGAAAAGAAAUCAACCGAGAUUCCCCCAGUAGCGGCGAGCGAACGGGGAGCAGCCCAGAGCCUGAAUCAGUAUGUGUGUUAGUGGAAGCGUCUGGAAAGGCGCGCGAUACAGGGUGACAGCCCCGUACACAAAAAUGCACAUAUUGUGAGCUCGAUGAGUAGGGCGGGACACGUGGUAUCCUGUCUGAAUAUGGGGGGACCAUCCUCCAAGGCUAAAUACUCCUGACUGACCGAUAGUGAACCAGUACCGUGAGGGAAAGGCGAAAAGAACCCCGGCGAGGGGAGUGAAAAAGAACCUGAAACCGUGUACGUACAAGCAGUGGGAGCACGCUUAGGCGUGUGACUGCGUACCUUUUGUAUAAUGGGUCAGCGACUUAUAUUCUGUAGCAAGGUUAACCGAAUAGGGGAGCCGAAGGGAAACCGAGUCUUAACUGGGCGUUAAGUUGCAGGGUAUAGACCCGAAACCCGGUGAUCUAGCCAUGGGCAGGUUGAAGGUUGGGUAACACUAACUGGAGGACCGAACCGACUAAUGUUGAAAAAUUAGCGGAUGACUUGUGGCUGGGGGUGAAAGGCCAAUCAAACCGGGAGAUAGCUGGUUCUCCCCGAAAGCUAUUUAGGUAGCGCCUCGUGAAUUCAUCUCCGGGGGUAGAGCACUGUUUCGGCAAGGGGGUCAUCCCGACUUACCAACCCGAUGCAAACUGCGAAUACCGGAGAAUGUUAUCACGGGAGACACACGGCGGGUGCUAACGUCCGUCGUGAAGAGGGAAACAACCCAGACCGCCAGCUAAGGUCCCAAAGUCAUGGUUAAGUGGGAAACGAUGUGGGAAGGCCCAGACAGCCAGGAUGUUGGCUUAGAAGCAGCCAUCAUUUAAAGAAAGCGUAAUAGCUCACUGGUCGAGUCGGCCUGCGCGGAAGAUGUAACGGGGCUAAACCAUGCACCGAAGCUGCGGCAGCGACACUAUGUGUUGUUGGGUAGGGGAGCGUUCUGUAAGCCUGUGAAGGUGUGCUGUGAGGCAUGCUGGAGGUAUCAGAAGUGCGAAUGCUGACAUAAGUAACGAUAAAGCGGGUGAAAAGCCCGCUCGCCGGAAGACCAAGGGUUCCUGUCCAACGUUAAUCGGGGCAGGGUGAGUCGACCCCUAAGGCGAGGCCGAAAGGCGUAGUCGAUGGGAAACAGGUUAAUAUUCCUGUACUUGGUGUUACUGCGAAGGGGGGACGGAGAAGGCUAUGUUGGCCGGGCGACGGUUGUCCCGGUUUAAGCGUGUAGGCUGGUUUUCCAGGCAAAUCCGGAAAAUCAAGGCUGAGGCGUGAUGACGAGGCACUACGGUGCUGAAGCAACAAAUGCCCUGCUUCCAGGAAAAGCCUCUAAGCAUCAGGUAACAUCAAAUCGUACCCCAAACCGACACAGGUGGUCAGGUAGAGAAUACCAAGGCGCUUGAGAGAACUCGGGUGAAGGAACUAGGCAAAAUGGUGCCGUAACUUCGGGAGAAGGCACGCUGAUAUGUAGGUGAAGUCCCUCGCGGAUGGAGCUGAAAUCAGUCGAAGAUACCAGCUGGCUGCAACUGUUUAUUAAAAACACAGCACUGUGCAAACACGAAAGUGGACGUAUACGGUGUGACGCCUGCCCGGUGCCGGAAGGUUAAUUGAUGGGGUUAGCCGCAAGGCGAAGCUCUUGAUCGAAGCCCCGGUAAACGGCGGCCGUAACUAUAACGGUCCUAAGGUAGCGAAAUUCCUUGUCGGGUAAGUUCCGACCUGCACGAAUGGCGUAAUGAUGGCCAGGCUGUCUCCACCCGAGACUCAGUGAAAUUGAACUCGCUGUGAAGAUGCAGUGUACCCGCGGCAAGACGGAAAGACCCCGUGAACCUUUACUAUAGCUUGACACUGAACAUUGAGCCUUGAUGUGUAGGAUAGGUGGGAGGCUUUGAAGUGUGGACGCCAGUCUGCAUGGAGCCGACCUUGAAAUACCACCCUUUAAUGUUUGAUGUUCUAACGUUGACCCGUAAUCCGGGUUGCGGACAGUGUCUGGUGGGUAGUUUGACUGGGGCGGUCUCCUCCUAAAGAGUAACGGAGGAGCACGAAGGUUGGCUAAUCCUGGUCGGACAUCAGGAGGUUAGUGCAAUGGCAUAAGCCAGCUUGACUGCGAGCGUGACGGCGCGAGCAGGUGCGAAAAGCAGGUCAUAGUGAUCCGGUGGUUCUGAAUGGAAGGGCCAUCGCUCAACGGAUAAAAGGUACUCCGGGGAUAACAGGCUGAUACCGCCCAAGAGUUCAUAUCGACGGCGGUGUUUGGCACCUCGAUGUCGGCUCAUCACAUCCUGGGGCUGAAGUAGGUCCCAAGGGUAUGGCUGUUCGCCAUUUAAAGUGGUACGCGAGCUGGGUUUAGAACGUCGUGAGACAGUUCGGUCCCUAUCUGCCGUGGGCGCUGGAGAACUGAGGGGGGCUGCUCCUAGUACGAGAGGACCGGAGUGGACGCAUCACUGGUGUUCGGGUUGUCAUGCCAAUGGCACUGCCCGGUAGCUAAAUGCGGAAGAGAUAAGUGCUGAAAGCAUCUAAGCACGAAACUUGCCCCGAGAUGAGUUCUCCCUGACUCCUUGAGAGUCCUGAAGGAACGUUGAAGACGACGACGUUGAUAGGCCGGGUGUGUAAGCGCAGCGAUGCGUUGAGCUAACCGGUACUAAUGAACCGUGAGGCUUAACCUUACAACGCCGAAGGUGUUU